UUUCUACGGAAAACGAGGGGUCCAUGGGGACCAUUGAUGCUGCCACGGGAAAACUCCUAGCAGACAGCUGUGCUGUACUGUUGACACCACGGGCUGAUCUUCAUAACUGCAGUGCUCAGACAAUGAGCAGUUCAUCAAGACACAGAGACUGCUUUCCUUUGCAAGUCAUACACAUAGGAAAUAUGAAUAAUUGCCACCGGAAGAAUUUGUUUCCGUCUUAUUUCUAAAGCAAAGCAUUUUCUGUGUUUUCGCUGUUUGUAUACAUUUGCUGUUUACUAUAUUAAAGUAGUUUAUACUGUAGCAUGGGGGGAAAAUUAAUUGAUAGAGAUUUCAGCUUGGUUUUUGACCAUCCAAAAUUCUUAACUCAGACAGACAUUUCAUUUUUCUAAACUGGACAUUCUGCAGAGAUAAAUGAAGACAGAUGGCAUCACCUCGAAGCUGGUUAUCCUGAUGAAAGAUCUCAGGGAGUCGCAGCUGUAAGCAACUGUGACCCUUUGACAUCUUACAUGGAGACAGGUUUGGAGAGAGAAGGGAGGCAGCAUGUUCACCCAGCUGCGGCUCUGAUAUGAAUGCUGACAGCGUUGCUGGGAUUAUUUUUUGUUUAAACUCUGCAUCCCAUUAGUUCUGAUAUGAAAAGCUGAUCUUGUGACUGUAAUGUAUGCACGUUUCUGCCACCAGGAAAAAGCACAGUCUGAUUGAGCAAGGUAGAAUCCAACACCAUUCAGCCCAAAUAACCUAAAACCCCAACCCUGAUUGUGUCAUGUCAUAUAUUUUAAGAACCCAGUCCAGGCUGUUACAUCAAGUAAUAUCGAAUCAACAGACAGUUAAAAUAAUGACAAUGGGGCUAUCUGAAAAAAUAAAAGCCAUUUGGCCCCUGUAACUGUCAGGCUAUUAAUGUAGAAAAUGAAUGUCUGGGGUUGUUUUCCUGACACUGGAGAAACAUUCCAAUGAGCAAUGAUAAAUUGGAAGGUGAGGGGAAAAUCUCUUAUCUCUACAUAGACUAAAAAGCAG
RNAcentral lists this long non-coding RNA (1011 nucleotides) under Homo sapiens (human). RNAcentral describes it as "HSALNT0116503". The record is from RNAcentral. Lineage: Eukaryota; Metazoa; Chordata; Mammalia; Primates; Hominidae.